AUUUGCCCCAAUCAGCUCGGGCGCUCCGCACCCAAUCACCCGCGUCUCGCGGCUCUUGCCCCACCCCAGCCACCAAACAUGGAACCCUAGCCUCCUUUCUCCUUCCCCUCGACCCCCACGAGCCACUGCACCCCUCCCUCUCCCUUCCGUGCGUGUGCUCGGCCAAGGACGCCGCCGUCGCCCUCGGCUCCUCCUCCACCACCUCGCCUUUUUCUCCUCCUCGCCUUCCCAUCGCUCGCGUGCAUGUCGCCGCCGUCGGAGAACAGGAUUGUGCGGGUCGCUUCCUCCUUUUCCUCCCGCCGGAUCUAAGGCGUGCGGUCGUGGAGCCGAGCCUCUCCGGUGGCGGCGGCAAAGGGUGACCACAUGGAUCGGUCCUUGCAGGAGAGAGAGAGAGAUGCGAGAGAGGGAGAGAAUGAAGGAGAGGAGGGAGGCCCGGCAGCGACGGGAGAGGGUCACCGACCGGCGCCGGCGAGGUCAGGUGCGACCUGGUGGUUGGUGGUGGCUUGAUCCACUCCUGGAUCCUUCUUCCACUUCUCCACUGCCUAAUAUGGGGCACCGGUCAGGGAGCACGGGAUCGAUGUUCUGCGGCUCGAGGUUUGCUUCCUUUCUGAGAAGAAGCAGGAGCAAAGCAUAUGCUUGCUCUUCCAUGGUGAGUUUGGAGUUUACCCUCUGUCCCUGGAAGUUGAAAUUGGCUAUCAUGCAAGCGAUGGCCUUUUCUUAGCCAUGGAAUACAAAGGAAGCUACAAAAUUGUCAUAUCGCAUUUUCUUGAGAUAUCCGUCAAGGGAAUCUGAUUGUACCCAAAUGUGAUAGGUCCCACUCUUCGGCAGCUUGAAUUCGAAGUUGUAGUGGCUAAACAAGAUUAGGAUCAUGUUUAUGAUGGGUUUUCCAUCGAUACAGAGGAUGUAUGCAUAUAUGUUACUGGCUAGCAUGAUACUGUUAGCGGAAGCUGUAGUGCUUUUUAUGGUCGACGGUGGCAUGCCGCUCCAAGCCACACUGCUUUCCAUCAACGCCGACAACCACAACAGGGAUGGAUCCAGCCGCCAAGAGGCACGGCGGUGGCCUGCUCCCAAGCUGCAGGUGAGAACGUGACACGGCGGUGGCUGGUUUGCAUAAAUAUUGAUCAAUGUGUUCUGAGAAUAUUUUGUGAGGUAUCAUGAUUGGCAUAUCACAGGUUGCUAGAGCUGUUCAAGCAGAUGCGUGCGUUCUACUUUUGUUACUUAGUUUAGUUUGAAUAGGUACCGUAACAAGGCUAGGUUCAGUAACUAUUUUUUUGCUUUUUUGCAUAACGUCUGAAUCAAAUGCUCAAGUUAGUAUGCAUUGGUUAACAAUGGCAGGGUCAUUGUGGUGCCUGUUGGGCCUUUAGUGUUGUGGCAAUGCUGGGGCCAAACUAGAUUUCAUAAAGAAAGGUAGAUGAAGAAUCUAUCGGAAGAUUUUGUUAAAUGAAACUUGCAUUUUGAUGUUAUGAGCGUAAAAAUAUAUUUUGCAUUUUUAGGAAAUAAGAUAAUAGGACCAGCUAAAGGAAAACUUUGGUUAAAAUAUUGCUUUAUUUGUUUGUGCAACCAGGCUUAUUUGGUUCUCAUCGAAAGAUAACUGGACCAGCUAAAGGAGAACUUUUCUGAACUAUUUCUUUAUUUGUUUGUGCAACCAGGCUUAUUUGGUUCUGAUCGGAAGAUAAUUGGACCAGCUAAAGGAGAACUUUCCUGAACUAUUUCUUAUUUGUUUGUGCAACCAGGAUUAUUUGGUUCUGAUCAGAAGAUAAUUGGACUAGCUAAAGGAGAACUUUGCUGAACUAUUUCUUUAUUUGUUGGUGUAACCAUGCUUAUUUGCUUCUGAUAAUUGGACCGGCUAAAGAAGAACUUUGCUGAACUAUUUCUUUAUUUGUUUGUGCAACCAGGCUUAUUUGGUUCUGAUCGGUUUCUUGCCUAGGUUGUAUAAUGUCUCCUCUCUGCUCUCGUUCCCUCCUUACCUUCACCCAUCUUCAGGCGCAAAUGGAGCUGCGGCAGUGACGUCAUCACCUGAAAUCAGGUUUCCCUCUCAGGUGGGGAGGGACAGAUGUGGCUGCAUCAACGAAGUGACAGAAGAAGGCUGCGUUGGUUGUACUCCGGGCACUGCCGCCUCCAUCCCUGCUCCAUCAGGUUUUCUAUUAAAGGGAAUUAAACCAUGGAUAUUUUUUCAUCACAUACAUGGAUUUAUCGUGCCUCUGCGCCAUUUGGCUCAACGGGUCAUCAGACACGAUCACAACAUCAUAUAUAUUGAGUGACUAUGAACUUCGAUACAGACAAAAAAGAAAGAUCAUGAACAAUAAAAUAUAUAUUUGCUCAAAUUUUUGUUUUCAAUGGCAAGCAAAUAAUUUGUUUACUUAGGAAAUGAUGUUUCAUGUCACACACACCAAAGUAAGAAACAGAUUCCUUCCUCUUUACUUGCAGAGAUCAACAAAUUAUUGCGCUUACCUGAUACAAUUAUUUUCUUUUGUUUGGAGCGUUCCCUGUGAUCGUCAGGGAUAUCCUGCAGAACAAUACGGAAAUCCAUCAUCGGCAAAAAUAUCGAGUAGAAAUCAAGCACGCGUAAUAGGAGUGCAUAUGGACGAUCUGUCUACUCUCUGGUCUAUUUUUAAACAGACAUGUUGGCCUUUUCUUACAUAAUCAGCCUACUGUUUCUAUUCCUCGCAGGUCAUUUCACUUUCUGUCAAUAGGCAUUGAUCUCCAUGUUAACUUGGUGUAAGGUAGUCUUGACGAUGUGUUGAGGCGGUCUGCUCAGUGACCGUUAGUAAGGUUGCUCAUCGGCAAGCGAAAGAGCUUUGUGCAUUCUUGCAUGGUUAAGGAAGAAUUUGUUAUUUGAAGUAUGCACUACAGAUAUUGCAAGUCUACUUCAGUAAUGCUGUGGCAUGCCGCAAAACAACCACAUUUUGCUGCUGUGAUUUGGUCCAUCCUGUGCAUUUCAGUUCCUGGUGAUCUCCAAUGUUUGUCAGCUAAUGCCACCAGGAGGGCUGCCCACCCAAGACUUGUAAUGUGGGCAUCGGUACUGUCCUUUGACAUAUUUGGAAGUCACUGUCGUUUCAACUCCGUCAGGUGCCAGGCCAAGGAUGUUACUCAUCGCUGCUGUGAAGACCUUGCGGUGUGGUGUCGGUCGUUCACAUCUUAUACUAGAAUAUAUAAACUGAGCAUCAUGUCUGCAUCCAUGCUAUUUUUUGGUUUUCUUUAAUCUAACCACCAAUAGUAUGAUAUAUAGGAUCUCUGGACAAACAACCACAAUGGGAGCAUUGUUUGGUGCAGCACUAACAAUAGCCACUACAAUGACCAGUGAAGCUACAAAUUAACAGCUGGAGCAAGGAAAAGGACCUUCGAGAGUAUGGAAUAAUGAAUACAAUGAUAAUCUGACACCUAAUAAGGAUCAAGAGAACAACAGAGAUGCUAAGAGGCAACAUUUUGGGUUUAAGGAUAUAAACAACAUGGCUUACGAGGAUUUGGACUGCUGUUAUUUUAGUUCCACUCUUAAAUAUUUUGGUUCUUGAAGGCCUGACUUUCCUGGUGGAGUAGGAGCAAAAUAAUCCAGAGGCUUUAAAGCUGCUGCACUUUAGUAGUUAGGAUCAAUUCUUUGUUUUGGUUUGAAAUGCUCCCCAAUUCCUCCUAUUUGAUUGAUUCAUCUGAUGGUCAUUUGUCAGGCAAAUAAACAGAAGGCAUAUGUAUUGUUUUGAGUGAAGCCAUCCAUACAAGUCGAUAUAUUAAUUAUCCCAUAUGUGGAAUUCAAGAUAUAGAGAAAUGUUAUUGUUCUUCUGCUAAUUGGUUGCUUGACCAAAUGUACUAUAAAUGAUGUUAUUAUUGUACCAGAUAUAGAGAAA
Molecule: ribosomal RNA, 3839 nt
Filed under: Triticum aestivum (bread wheat)
Lineage: Eukaryota; Viridiplantae; Streptophyta; Magnoliopsida; Poales; Poaceae
Description: partial small subunit ribosomal RNA
Source: RNAcentral